UAAACUUCAUUGUACAUGUCCA
Molecule: non-coding RNA, 22 nt
Filed under: Arabidopsis thaliana (thale cress)
Lineage: Eukaryota; Viridiplantae; Streptophyta; Magnoliopsida; Brassicales; Brassicaceae
Source: RNAcentral